AUGGAGGGAUGCUUCUUGCAGAUGGCGAGGUUGCCGAAGAAGGUGCCUUUUUCUGCCAUGUUGAAGGUGAGGUUGGCACCCAUGGCGUCGACGGGGAUCUGGAAGAAGUGCUUGAGCAUCUGCAGGUUGGUAGACUUGCCGAAGUUGGGUGGCGCCACUAGGACGAGCUGCUCGCGACUGUCCAAGAAGUGUUUGAUGAACUCCGUUUUAUCGACGAACGUCUCACGGCCAGCCACCUCCCGAAAGGGCCACCACCCGUCUUCUCUCUCAUCUUGGUUGUGAGGUUACGGCCUGACUCUCAAAAUCACACAAGAUAUGUUUUUGAACAAAAAUAUAUCUGGAAAAAAGUUCCCUUUUGAAAAAUGAAACUUCCCACAAUUUCGGCACCCCUAAUGAAUGUUCUUUUGCCACCACAUUCCAUUAAAAAUAUCACGUGAAUAGUAGAGAUUCCCAAGAUAAGUGAAAAUAAAUUGGAGGCCCGUUUAAAUUUAUUCAAAAAUGUGAUAUUGUCUCUUGAGAUUCACUUACCUGAAGGACAAAGCCGAUGUAAAACAGGAAUUGUAGCAUUUUUCACUAAGAAAAAUAAAUCAAUAUCAAAGUUGUUGUCCGAAACAGAGUAAACUUUCAGAAAUAGAAUGAGCCAGUUCAAAGCACAGAGAGCAAUACAAACACAACGCGAGCUAUGAUAAGACUACAAAUCGACGGUGUAAGUCGGCAAUCACAUAACUCGGUUUGCGACGCCGCAGACUUCCUGUCAAAAUUUAUUUUUUAAACAGAAAACUACUCAACGGCAAUGCUUUAAAACUGCCGUGAUUUUUCAUCUCUGUGCAAAGAAAAUUCGGCAAGAUCUUCAAGGAAUGAUGUCAAUUUGUUCUCUUUCAAAAAAAUAACAUACAGGCAGAGAUUUUCAGACACCGCAAACGAGAUAUGUCAUUGCGGACUUACGCCGUCGAAAUAUUAUGCAAGGGCACUUUACAAAGGCUGUCCCAGAAUGACCCGCACUGGUUCUGUAACUCAAAAAUUGAUCAACGGAUUGAGCUGAUCUUGGGCUCAUUUGAAUGAUAAAGUCAAAUCGAAGCAAUAGAGAAUUUGCAGGUGUCUGAAAUUUGAUGAAUUUCGUGUUUG
RNAcentral lists this long non-coding RNA (1125 nucleotides) under Bemisia tabaci. RNAcentral describes it as "lncRNA ENSSSA2NGG005675". Lineage: Eukaryota; Metazoa; Arthropoda; Insecta; Hemiptera; Aleyrodidae. The record is from RNAcentral.